Molecule: ribosomal RNA, 793 nt
Filed under: fungal endophyte
Lineage: Eukaryota; Fungi
Description: eukaryotic LSU rRNA
Rfam family: Eukaryotic large subunit ribosomal RNA (bases 497-793)
Source: RNAcentral
GGUGACCUGCGGAGGGAUCAUUACAGAGACUCUGCCCCCUGGGUAGACCUCCCACCCUGUGUCGUUGUACCUUUGUUGCUUUGGCGGGCCGCGGGGCCCCGGCCCUGCCCCCGGCUCCGGCUGGGGCGCGCCCGCCAGAGGACCUCAAAACCUGAACGUUAGUGUCGUCUGAGUGCUAUAUAAUAGUUAAAACUUUCAACAACGGAUCUCUUGGUUCUGGCAUCGAUGAAGAACGCAGCGAAAUGCGAUAAGUAAUGUGAAUUGCAGAAUUCAGUGAAUCAUCGAAUCUUUGAACGCACAUUGCGCCCCUUGGUAUUCCGGGGGGCAUGCCUGUUCGAGCGUCAUUACAACCCUCAAGCUCUGCUUGGUCUUGGGCGUCACCGGUCCCCGGUGUGCCUUAAAAUCAGUGGCGGCGCCACCUGGCUCUAAGCGUAGUACAUCCUCUCGCUACAGACGCCCGGUGGAUGCUGGCCAGCAACCCCCCAUCUAUCAAGGUUGACCUCGGAUCAGGUAGGGAUACCCGCUGAACUUAAGCAUAUCAAUAAGCGGAGGAAAAGAAACCAACAGGGAUUACCUCAGUAACGGCGAGUGAAGCGGUAACAGCUCAAAUUUGAAAUCUGGGUCUUUCAGGCUCCGAGUUGUAAUUUGUAGAAGAUGCUUUGGGUGCGGCCCCGGUCUAAGUUCCUUGGAACAGGACGUCAUAGAGGGUGAGAAUCCCGUAUGUGAUCGGUGGCCUGCGCCCGUGUAAAGCUCUUUCGACGAGUCGGGUUGUUUGGGAAUGCAGCUCUAAAUG